Molecule: ribosomal RNA, 466 nt
Filed under: uncultured bacterium
Lineage: Bacteria
Description: partial 16S ribosomal RNA
Rfam family: Bacterial small subunit ribosomal RNA
Source: RNAcentral
GACGAACGCUGGCGGCGCGCCUAACACAUGCAGGUCGAACGAGCGAGAGAGAGCUUGCUUUCUCGAGCGAGUGGCGAACGGGUGAGUAACGCGUGAGGAACCUGCCUCAAAGAGGGGGACAACAGUUGGAAACGACUGCUAAUACCGCAUAAGCCCACGGUGCCGCAUGGCACAGAGGGAAAAGGAGCAAUCCGCUUUGAGAUGGCCUCGCGUCCGAUUAGCUAGUUGGUGAGGUAAUGGCCCACCAAGGCGACGAUCGGUAGCCGGACUGAGAGGUUGAACGGCCACAGUGGGACUGAGACACGGCCCAGACUCCUACGGGAGGCAGCAGUGGGGAAUAUUGCACAAUGGGGGAAACCCUGAUGCAGCGACGCCGCGUGGAGGAAGAAGGUCUUCGGAUUGUAAACUCCUGUUGUUGGGGAAGAUAAUGACGGUACCCAACAAGGAAGUGACGGCUAACUACGUA